This 1234-nucleotide ribosomal RNA is filed under the name metagenome. RNAcentral's name for it is "bacterial LSU rRNA". It matches the Rfam family "Bacterial large subunit ribosomal RNA", at positions 1564 to 2808 of the family's 2925-position model. The record is from RNAcentral.
UGAAUACGAGACGCUAAGGCGUCGAAGUAGUGUAUGUCAUACUUCCAAGAAAAGCUUGCACUGUCAUAGAUAAAAAACGCCUGUACCAUAACCGACACAGGUGGGUAGGUAGAGUAUACUAAGGGGCGCGAGAUAACUCUCUCUAAGGAACUCGGCAAAAUAACUCCGUAACUUCGGGAGAAGGAGUGCCUUAUUCGUAAGGUUGCAAUAACAAGAUCCAAGCAACUGUUUAUCAAAAACACAGGUCUCCGCUAAGUCGUAAGACGAUGUAUGGGGGCUGACGCCUGCCCAGUGCCAGAAGGUUAAAGAAGUUGGUUAGCAAUUGCGAAGCUGAUAACUGAAGCCCUGGUGAACGGCGGCCGUAACGAUAACGGUCCUAAGGUAGCGAAAUUCCUUGUCGGGUAAGUUCCGACCCGCACGAAAGGCGUAAUGAUUUGGAUACUGUCUCGGAGAGGGGCUCGGUGAAAUAGACUUGUCUGUGAAGAUGCGGACUACCUGCACCAGGACAGAAAGACCCUAUGAAGCUUUACUGUAACUUGAAAUUGAAAUUGGACUUUAUUCGCGCAGUAUAGGUGGGAGGCGUUGAUUAUAAUCUUGCGGGAUUAUUGGAGCCAUCAGUGAGAUACCACUCUUGUAAUGUUAGAUUUCUAACUUUGAAUCAUUAUCUGGUCAAAGAACAGUUUCAGGCGGGCAGUUUGACUGGGGCGGUCGCCUCCUAAACGGUAACGGAGGCGUACAAAGGUUUCCUCUGAACGGUUAGAAAUCGUAUCUAGAGUGUAAAGGCAUAAGGAAGCUUGACUGUGAGACCUACAAGUCGAGCAGGGACGAAAGUCGGUCUUAGUGAUCUGACGGUACUGAGUGGAAAGGCCGUCACUCAACGGAUAAAAGUUACUCUAGGAUAACAGGCUGAUCUCCCCCAAGAGUUCACAUCGACGGGGAGGUUUGGCACCUCGAUGUCGGCUCAUCGCAUCCUGGGGCGGUAGUACGUCCCAAGGGUUGGGCUGUUCGCCCAUGAAAGCGGUACGCGAGCUGGGUUCAGAACGUCGUGAGACAGUUCGGUCCAUAUCCGGUGUAGGCGUUAGAAUAUUGAGAGGAGCCUUCUUUAGUACGAGAGGACCGAGAAGGACAUACCUCUGGUGUACCAGUUAUCGUGCCAACGGUAAACGCUGGGUAGCUAUGUAUGGAGUGGAUAACCGCUGAAAGCAUCUAAGUGGGAAGCCCACCUCAAGAUAAG